GGGAGGGGGAAAAGCAGGAGGAUUUUGAAGGAAGGAGGAGGGGGGAGCAGCUGAGAGAGAGAGAGAGAGAGAGAGAGAUGAAGCCAGGGGAGGGGGGGAGGAGAGGCACCACAGAUUACAACCAGCCACGUACAGGAGCGGGCGCCACGGCAGCGUGGAGGACGGGGAAAAAAGAAUAACAGCUCUGGCGACCUUCUACUCUCCUUCUGUGUCGGUCGAGGGAACAAAGAGGAAGAGGGAGAGGAAGAGGGAGAAGAAGAGGGAGAGGAAGAGGGGGGAAGCGCUGCGUUUCAGAGGACGGCGCUGUGACAGCAGAGGAGGACGAGGUGAUGUGUGUGUGCAGCGCGCUGGUUUGUAACACACCAGCAACACUACGGGUGGGUGUGUUUUAAGGAACCCUCCCGCCCUCAUCUUACCAAGAAGCCUGACCCGAGGUUACGCAAGCCAUGCUGAGGACCCGGAGACAGUCCUGCUAAACACCAUGACUCAGGUGAAAGGACGGAAAGGACUGUGUGGGCUUUGCUCGACGUAUAGAGGCUCCGCUGUGUGACUCACUGAAGUGACUCAGACUGAGCUGACAGCUCGGCUGCCCUCGGGCCUUCGCUCAACUACUCUGCACCGGCCACUGGUGCUCGGGAUGAGCAGCGCGUGUCCCGGCCUCGGAGAGCUGGCCAGAACCAACGCCACGAAAGCAUCCACAGGGAGGCACAGAGGGGGGGUUUGUGAGAGACUUUUGUUGGUUUGCUUUUCAAAUACCAGACACUCCCAUGACUGAUACUGGGACCCGCGACCACUGAACUAACAACCACGGAAUCGAAUCCCCACAAAAUACGGCAUUAUUUAUAAAGUUCUUAAGUUAGAUUAGCCACAAGAGGUCCUAGUUAGGGUGACCUGAUAGUUCACCUCACUCUUACAGUCCAGUAGUUACAAUAAUAUCCUGCUUUGUACACGUUAAAGUUUAAACCACUGAGGCACAAACAAACUCUAGAAGAAUGAUGGAGUGAGACACAAAAGCGUUGCUGGCUGUUCUUACAUCCGGGCCUGUAAUCGACAUCCCAGCGCCGGACCCGACUGUUAUCAGCAC
Gasterosteus aculeatus aculeatus (three-spined stickleback) is the source of this 1084-nucleotide long non-coding RNA. The record is from Ensembl. Lineage: Eukaryota; Metazoa; Chordata; Actinopteri; Perciformes; Gasterosteidae.